GUUGAAAGUCUAAGGAAAACAAGAGAAAGAAGUAAAUAACAAAUUCAAAGUUUCGUAUAGAGUUUCAGAAAAUGAAUCGUUUCUUCUUCGUCUUCGUUCUCUCCUGCCUUCUACUGUUUGGAGAAAUUAAUAAAUUAAAAGGAGAACCGCAAGAGUAUUGGAGGAAGGUGAUGGGAGAAGAACCUUUGCCGGAACCGAUCAAAGAGUUCAUGAACAAUCCGUUUAGGACAAAACAGAAGAAGUUCAUCAACAACUUCGAUACCAAAUCCACCGUACUAAUAUACCACAAGACUUAAUGGAUCAACCAUGAAAUCAUAUAUACACUCUCUCUCAAGAACUCUUGAUUAGGUCAAUUUGGAGAGUUUUGGAGUGUCAUUAAUUUGUGUUGAUAAUGUAUUAUAUAGGAUUUUAAUUUAUCGUUCUUUGUGGUGUUCUUUUUUUUAAGGGAUUUUAUAGAAAUAUGAAUUUGGUUGGUGUGUUACUUUAUGUAAGCUCUCUUUGCUUUGUAAGCAAUGAUGUGUUGUUGAAGAUUGUUAUACUCAAAAUCUUAA
Molecule: long non-coding RNA, 551 nt
Organism: Tarenaya hassleriana
Lineage: Eukaryota; Viridiplantae; Streptophyta; Magnoliopsida; Brassicales; Cleomaceae
Exons: 2
Source: RefSeq, a predicted model, not a curated record